AAAGACUUAAGUUAAUAAGACUAUGAGCCUUCAAAGCUCAAAGAAUAGGUUGGACCCCUAUAGUUUUUG
Molecule: transfer RNA, 69 nt
Filed under: Holothuria spinifera
Lineage: Eukaryota; Metazoa; Echinodermata; Holothuroidea; Aspidochirotida; Holothuriidae
Also listed under: 1 other name
Description: tRNA-Trp
Rfam family: tRNA
About the family: Transfer RNA (tRNA) molecules are approximately 80 nucleotides in length.
Source: RNAcentral